This 497-nucleotide ribosomal RNA is filed under the name uncultured bacterium. RNAcentral's name for it is "partial 16S ribosomal RNA". It matches the Rfam family "Bacterial small subunit ribosomal RNA", at positions 28 to 507 of the family's 1533-position model. The record is from RNAcentral.
GACGAACGCUGGCGGCGUGCCUAAUACAUGCAAGUUGAGCGCUGAAGGUUGGUACUUGUACCAACUGGAUGAGCAGCGAACGGGUGAGUAACGCGUGGGGAAUCUGCCUUUGAGCGGGGGACAACAUUUGGAAACGAAUGCUAAUACCGCAUAAAAACUUUAAACACAAGUUUUAAGUUUGAAAGAUGCAAUUGCAUCACUCAAAGAUGAUCCCGCGUUGUAUUAGCUAGUUGGUGAGGUAAAGGCUCACCAAGGCGAUGAUACAUAGCCGACCUGAGAGGGGGAUCGGCCACAUUGGGAAUGAGACACGGCCCAAACUCCUACGGGAGGCAGCGGUAGGGAGUCUUCGGCAAUGGACGAAAGUCUGACCGAGCAACGCCGCGUGAGUGAAGAAGGUUGUCGGAUCGUAAAAAUCUGUUGGUAGAGAAGAACGUUGGUGAGAGUGGAAAGCUCAUCAAGUGACGGUAACUACCCAGAAAGGGACGGCUAACUACGUG